This 71-nucleotide transfer RNA is filed under the name Stegodyphus mimosarum. It matches the Rfam family "tRNA". From Rfam's summary of the family: Transfer RNA (tRNA) molecules are approximately 80 nucleotides in length. Their secondary structure includes four short double-helical elements and three loops (D, anti-codon, and T loops). The record is from Rfam by way of RNAcentral. Lineage: Eukaryota; Metazoa; Arthropoda; Arachnida; Araneae; Eresidae.
GCUUUCGUGGUGCAGUGGUCAGCACGCUUGGCGGACUCAAGAGAUCAGUGGUUCGAGUCCAGGCGAGGGCA